This is a non-coding RNA of Ictidomys tridecemlineatus (thirteen-lined ground squirrel), 3558 nucleotides long. The record is from RefSeq and is a predicted model, not a curated record. Lineage: Eukaryota; Metazoa; Chordata; Mammalia; Rodentia; Sciuridae.
UCGCUCAGUUGCUCAGGGCCUCACUAAGGUGCCGAGGCUGGCUUUGAACCUGCCAUCCUCCUGCCUCAGCCUCCUGAGCCGCUGGGAUGACAGGCCUGCGCCACCACACCCGGCACUUUCCAUGAAUUCUUUAGGGAAUUUCCAGACCACAUAAUCUCUCACUCCUCUGAAUUCAUUCACCCACUCAUCCAUCCCUCCUCCCGGCACUUUUUAUCGGGCACCUACUUUAUGUCCGCAGCAUCUCAACAGGCAGGACCACUGUCCUAAUGGAAGGCUCAGCCUAGCAGGAGACAAGCCUCAAACAAGCAACCACAUAGAUCAAUCACUUUAAACUGUGAUCUGUGCCAUGACAAGAGAAACACAGUGCAAGAAGUAGGAGGGGACAUAAACAGGGGUCUCUACUUCUGCAGAGUCAUAAAGGAAGAGAAAGAAUAUUAAGUCAGACUUAAAGAAAAGCUGGAGUUCUCCACAUGAAGAGAAGGAAGUAUGGAGGCAGAAAUGGCAAUAUGUGCAAAGGCCCUGAGGCCCGAGAGAUGGAGGGGGGAGGGGGCUGGAACACAGAGGGGGCAGAAAAGCAGCAUCAGGUGAGAUCAGGAAAGAAAAGAAAGCUGGGUCCAGAGGAUGGAGCAUUAUAGGUCGGUUAAGGAUUCUGGAUUUUGGCCCUAAGUGUGCUCAUCAAGAGCCAUUUAAGAGUUUUAAUCAGGGAUACAUUAGGCCGAAUCCAACUCGUAUCUUCAGAAGUUUAAUAAGUUAGGCAGCCAGGGACACAGUAGUCCCUAAAUCUUACCUCUGGAACCAGCUCCUCCAGGGCUUGUAUCAUGGCCUGCUCCAUCCACAGCGUCUAGUAGGUGAACCUCACAGUAUUGCAGACAGGACUCGGUCCCCCGAGCCACAGCCAAUGGGCUCACAGGACGGCACCAGCCUGAGGCCCACUCCUCCACCCAUGGCCAGGGGUCCAGGAUUUGUGACCAAACCCAGAAGGUAGGCCAGGCCCAUCAGAGGAUCUCCACUGGGACUUUUAACUAAGAGGCCAGGGGCAACUGCUAGUUGGCUGCUGAGAGCAGGACAGAAUGGACACGGGGCAGCCGUGGGACCAGGGCAGCCACAGUGGGAAGUUGCAAAACACUGUCUGGCGGAGAGGACCACCCUGCAAAGCCUUCCCAUGGUACCUAAAUGAAAUCCAGAUUUUUGCUGUGACCUCCAAGGUCUUGAGUCUCCAACUUCAUGCCAAGCUACUCGCCCCUUAUACUCCAGUCCUGCCGGACUCCCUUUUUUUGGUUCCUUAACCGAGCCAAACAACUCUCUGCCUCAGGGCCUUUGCACCGGUUGCUCCCAUUUCUUGAAAUUUCUUCUCUCUCUUUAUACAGAGCCUUGUCAUCCUUCAGCUCUGUCACCUCCUCAGAGGGAACGGCUUCGGCAACUCUCUAAAGUUUCCCCUUAAGAACAUAAGUUCCGUGACAGCGGGGUCCUUGACGGUCUCGGUGUCAUUGUAUUCUCCAGGCCUAACACCUGGGGGGUGCGCAGACAUCUGAAGGAGGCAGAAAGGAGAGAGGGGAGGAGGGGAGGCAGGAAGUGCAGUCUGUGCCAUUUCGAGGAAGGCCGGAGCGUCUCAAAGGAGGAGACGGUGACUUCCUGGGGCGAAUAGCUUCCUCGCCCCAGUUCCUUGAGGCCCAGCCGAAUCCCAUUCUCUGAUUCCUAGGACAUUCUUGCAAACACCUCCCCUUUCCUGAAGCAGCCUAAGUGGAUCUCUGUUGGGGAUUACUGAGCCAGCACCGACUCAGAACUAAUACCUCUAGAAGCUUCCAGAACUGGGGGACACCUGACCAUAAGGGUACAACUAAGCAUCUCUCUUAGAAAGAGCAGGACAACCAGGCCAGCAUCGCAGUUAGUCCGAAUGUCAAGGAAGGGCUUAAGCCGAGCGCAGUGGCACCCGGCUGUGGUCCCAGCGACUGCAGGGACAAAGGCCGGACAAUCCCAAGUUCAAGACCAGCCUGGGCCACUUAGCAAGAUCCUGUCUCAAAUCCAAUCAACAGGGCCUGGGGAUGCAGCUCAGAGGUGGAGCACUGGACUAGCGUAGGGGAGACUCUGGGUUUGAUCCCCAGUACCAGGAAAAGUUUUUUAAAAAAGUAAGGAGGAGGAAAAACAAAAGAAAACCCUCCAAGUGAGUUUAAUUCACAAAGAUCCAAGACAGAGGAAACCAGGAAUGAAAGCCACCAUGAAGACAACAGCUAGGCCAAGGCACCAAGCCAGACGCAAGCAGCUCCUGGAGGUUGAGUUGAUGCAACGUUGAUGGCUUUGUGUGUGUGUGUGUGAAUGGACGUCAAAUCAAUCAAACAGAAACCAGGCUUUGAGGUAGUAAUUUGGACUUAGUGGACGCUUCUCUGACUAUUUAGGUAAAAAAAAAAAAUUGUUGACUUGAUUCCAACUUAACUAGCUUGUAUUCGCCAUUUAAACUUCGACUGUCAUAACAAACAGACUCCAAAAGAUCAAGCACUUGACACAAUAAAUCGCUGUUUCCUGUCCACACAAGGACUACUGCAGGUCCCGCUGAGUGGCUUUCCUGGGUGGGUUGGCUCCAGGUGGUGACUCAGGGGACCAAGCUGCUCUGUCUUGUAGUUCUGCCACCUUGUGGCUGCAGGCUGGUACUGCAGUCAUCCACCUGGGGGAUGCAAGGGAGAGAAGAAGAGAUGGUGAGAAGGUCAAGGUCAUGCGCCAAAACAGCAUCACCUUGGCCCGGAGUAACGCACUUCAGGUCACGUGCCACUGAUGAGGACAAAAUGGUAGGGUCCUGUCCAGCUCCCAUAUGGAAAACGUCACCUAUGGCAAAAGAGUCGUAGCUCCGCCUUUCAUAGCGUGUGCACAUCUCCUGUCUUUGGCAGGAGACUAGUUAGUCGUCUCUGCCACACACGUAAGUAGGAAAAAAAUGUUCUCCAUAAAAACAAGACUCAAGGUGAAGAGCCCUUGAGGUUCGUAAAUUCAGCAUUUUAAGAUAAAUUCCAAGGCCUCCCGAUUUUCUGUUCCCACAUUUCCAUCCUUAGACCCCGUCAAAAAUCAGGUAAAAUAUCCCAUUGUAUACAAAUACACUACCACCUCCCACCCAGGUACAAUAUCCCAUAAUAUCCAGAGACGACAUCCAGCAAAGAGCCAACUCCUACCUAUGGGUCUUUCAGAGUGAAGAAACCGACUCAGAAGCAUCCUAUUCGAUUUUUUUUUCUUAUUCUCACUGGACAAAAUGGGGUCCUGGAUCCCUAAGCCAUUGAGGGGGGUGGACUUAAUACGGGGGAGAAGGACCAGUGGUUGGUUCUCAGCCCCUGCUGCCCCCCUGUUGGGUUAGCAUCACCUACAGGAAUUUUUAUUUUAAUUCCAAAUGUCCAGUCUCUACCCCAGAGAUUCUUACAUAAUUGAGCCAGAGUGAAUGAAGCUGGACUUCAGAAAUCACCAACCGAGAGUUUGGACCCAAUUACAUUCACAUUCGUGUUGAGUUUGGGCCCACGGGUGUUUAUUAAAAAAAAAAUCAAGAACUUCUUAAAACAAUCAAGCAAAUCAUGCAAAAAAAAA